RNAcentral lists this ribosomal RNA (254 nucleotides) under uncultured bacterium. Its description in RNAcentral is "partial 16S ribosomal RNA". It matches the Rfam family "Bacterial small subunit ribosomal RNA", at positions 524 to 776 of the family's 1533-position model. The record is from RNAcentral.
UACGUAGGGUCCAAGCGUUAUCCGGAAUUACUGGGUGUAAAGAGUUGCGUAGGUGGCAUUGUAAGUUGAUAGUGAAAGCGUUCGGCUCAACCGGAUAUCCAUUAUCAAAACUGCAAAGCUAGAGGACGAGAGAGGUUAUUGGAAUUCCCUGUGUAGGAGUGAAAUCCGUAGAUAUAGGGAGGAACACCGAUGGCGUAGGCAGAUAACUGGCUCGUUUCUGACACUAAGGCACGAAAGCGUGGGUAGCAAACGGG